UUCCUGGUGGUCCAGUGGUUAGGGCUUGGCGCUUUCACUGCUGGGGACAGGGUUCAAUUCCUGGUCAGGGAU
RNAcentral lists this transfer RNA (72 nucleotides) under Ovis aries (sheep). It matches the Rfam family "tRNA". From Rfam's summary of the family: Transfer RNA (tRNA) molecules are approximately 80 nucleotides in length. Their secondary structure includes four short double-helical elements and three loops (D, anti-codon, and T loops). Lineage: Eukaryota; Metazoa; Chordata; Mammalia; Artiodactyla; Bovidae. The record is from Rfam by way of RNAcentral.